This is a non-coding RNA of Phoenix dactylifera (date palm), 858 nucleotides long. The record is from RefSeq and is a predicted model, not a curated record. Lineage: Eukaryota; Viridiplantae; Streptophyta; Magnoliopsida; Arecales; Arecaceae.
AAAGGGUCAUGGUUAAUUAUUAGGGCAAGCCUAGUUCGCAUUUAUAUAGCUAGCCAUUGUAUCCUUUUCAAAAUCCAGUGGAUUGCCAAGACAUAAAUUUCACUGCAAGGAUUAUUUGAUGUUGCCAACUAGCCUCAUCCAGGAUUCAAACUUCAGUGGUAGCAUCCUAUCAUAUAUAUAUCGAAGGAGGUUCAUAUAUAGAUGUUGUUUACGGGCAAUUUUUUCUCCUUUUUUCUGUGUGUGUUUGGUGAUGGGAUUACAAGGGUCUCAACCCCAAACAUGCUUGCUUGUUGCAAAGUUGCAUUUGAACCUCACCCAAACACCAACCAAAACCUCAAUAUAUAAAAAGAAGAAACAACUGAUGAGAAACAAAUACUACGUGCACUUGAUCUCAGUCAAAAGGCCAGGAAAGAUAUAAAAGAAGAGAGGAAAGAUAUAAAAGAAGAAGAAGAAGCAAAUCUGGUGAGAGUUGGCCUAUUUUCACUUUAAUGAGCAGAUUGCCAGACACCUCUAAACAACUACUUAUUCUUUUUUCUAGAAAAAAGUAUAGAAUAAAUUCGAUCAAUAAAGUACGUCAUGUAAUGAUAUGAUGCUGUGACACCACCCCGCCCGGCCCCCCUCCGCCAACCAAAGAAACAAAAAGCCAACUCCAUUGCUGCUCUCACUACUUAAGGUCACCGUUUCUUUCCAUUUACCAAACUUACACGGCUUCACAAAAAGGCAGUAUAGCUGUAAAGCUUUUAGUUCCCUUCUGAACAGGAGAGCAUCAUUAUGGUUGAUCUACUGGAGUCAAGGGAGACUCUUACCAUGGUGAAAGGAUACUAUGGGCCCGUGAGAGGAAAGAAUCCAGCUGCCGUU